GGUCUUUGCUUAUUUUUGUCAUAAAUUGUAACUCAUAGUAAUACAAAAACAGGUCCGCAAUAAGUGGUGCACAGUUAGUCCCCAUUGGAAUUCCGAUAAUCUGACGAUAUACGGAAUUCCUAAAGCGAACAAAAAUGUUAUUUAGUAAAAAUUCAAGGGCAUAUAUAGUAUCAAAGCAUGUCCAAUUGACAUAGUUUUUUUGUUUAUUGCUACCAAAAAA
This 220-nucleotide long non-coding RNA is filed under the name Mytilus galloprovincialis (Mediterranean mussel). Lineage: Eukaryota; Metazoa; Mollusca; Bivalvia; Mytilida; Mytilidae. The record is from RNAcentral.